CAAUCUUGGCUGAAUGCGAUGGCUCCCAGUGCAGGGAGGGCUCGGCUCGGCGCUGCUGCGGAAUGGAAGACUGCCGCUCGCCUGCCCUUCUGUCUCUCGUCUAGACUCAAAGUGCCAUGGUUUGAGAGUCUUACCUGGCUCUCUUCAGAUAAACAGUCUUCAGGACCCUAAAGGCGCAGAGGGAAGGAUUAAGAAGAACGGCUGUGCAAUGGGUUUCUGUUCCUGUUUGCUUUUGUUUGAGACACUGAGCCCCCCUCUUACCAGGAUCAUCUGUCUGCCUGGUGGACGAGCUGCAUCCUGCCCACUGCAACAAUUUCACAUAGAGAUGUACUCAGCCUGGGAAGCGUGGGACCACGGCCAAGCAGCAGCUGCUGACCAGCCAGUGCUGACCUGUGCGCUUAGGCGAACUGGAUUUCACCACACGCCCACCGGCCUGGUCCUGCAUACCUCCACAGGCGGACCGUGGUUACGUGUAUCCCAGCAUGCCCCGAUGUAGCCACGUGGACAUGGAUGCUUGGAAGUGUCGGUGUCCAAACAGCAACAAGAAAAACACAGUUAGACCAGUGUUCUUUUUAGUGGUGGUACUAAAAGAGAAGGAUAAAUCUGUACUAAAUACAUUUUAAACAAUUAUUGUUCAGUGUUUACAUGAACAUUUAUAGAAAAUAUAACUAAAUACUAACAGUGUACUCUAUUUAAUUGUUUAUUAAUGAAUUCUGUUUUAUUUCCCUACAGCCAUUGAGAUUCCACCCUUGCCUCUUGGCUUUGGCCUACUGUAAUUUCCAUGGCAACCAGUAAAUUGGUUAGCAGGAUGAGUAAUGAAAUGACGUGAUGGAAAUGGAAGGUCCCAACAAAGAACUUAUUACACCUUUUUUUAUAACAUUCCAUUGUUGUCAAGUGCUCCUGAUAUUAACCUCCCUCUGCCAGGGUUCCCUGGACCUAAAACAGUGCACGUGCAUAUUGUCAAGUCUCCAGACAGAACAGAGAGUGAAAGAGAGCAAUGGGAAGAGGGCAAUAUCUCUCUUCACCACUCUCUCUCUCUCUUUUCAUCACCUUAACAAUUUCUGGGCUGAAGGACAUGCAGAACACUUGUUAAUUCACUUUCGGUUUACCUUUGGACUAACAAUGCUGAGAUAGUGAAAUAUGAAUGGAGAUCAACAUAAAUUUAUCUUAUAUCCUGCUUUAAAUAUUAUCAGCAUAUUAGAAUGGUUUCUGAAGGAUCAUGUGACACAAGCAACUUAGAAGGUGAAAGAGCACUGAGAGAGAGGUAGAUUAGGGGGAAGUGAUAGAGCUGGCACAGGAUGUUUGAGUGUUUGCUCUUGCUUUAACAACAUCCUCUGCACAGACACACAGGCAGGUAGUGAGAUGAGGUCGGAGAUAGAAGACUGUAGUCGGCCUGGUCUGCUGCCUGACCCAUUGUUUUACUUAUCUCUGUCCUGGCCUAUCUGCUGGGCCGGGGGCUAUUGAAGAGUGGGCAGGGGGAUGGAUGAGCACUGAUAAAAAGACAAAGACAAGUGCUUCUGCUUCAUUCAGAAACCGCAGGGAAGUACUGGCCCUAAUUAGUUGAUCAACAUAUUGGUGCUCAAUUAUCCAGUGCCUGGUCGGAUUGGGUUGGGAUGUAGGCCUGCCGGUUGGAAGAUAUGAGGGGAUCUAAUUUAACUAAUUAACUAACACAUUUCGAUAUUGAGUAAUCUUUGGGCUUGUAAUCUUCUGUUUGAAGAGAGAAGCCUGGUAAAACAUCUUGGAAAGGUUUAGUACAUGCAAGAUUUGAGCUUGGAACAGCUCAUAGUAAAAUCCAUGUACACUCAAAAAAAAAAAAACACUUUGAACUGUCCAAUGAAAGGUUCUUUGGGGAACCAUGGUUCUUCUUUGGUAUUGCUGUGAAAACUCUCUUUUGGAACCUCUGUUUUUAAGAAUGUUUUUGCCAUUGAUGGUUCCAUCGAGAGCCUUGAAUAUCAACCUUUUCAGAAAACACAAGGUUCUGGAGAAAAGUGUCUUUAGAUCACUGAAAUGUUUUUUACACUUUUUUCAAAUGUUCACUGAAAAGUUAUUUGAGAAACCAAAAUGCCUCUUCUGCCAGAGGGAAAACCCUUUAGGAACAUUCUUAAAACUAAAGGUUCCAAAAGAGAGGACUGAAGAAGUUUGAAAUUUGAGAUUUAUUUCUGAACAUAAUCAGGGAAUCAGAUUUCCUUGAUCAAUCACUGUGUUUUAGCAUGAAGGGGUUGCAGGGAAGGGAUGGCUCUCAACACACAUCAGUGUCAGUGUGGGAAAUCACAUCCAUCAAAUAACAGCAUUGCAUAUGGUUCAAAUAACGUUAAGGUUAGAGCAAUGCUGGCCAGUGGUAAGAGAGAGAGAGAGUAACACUGACCCUGAGAUGCCUUUAGGUGAAGCUGUUGUCCUGGAGGUCUGCCCCCUCUCUCUCUGUGGGGUAAGGGUGCAUUGCCUCUGGACAAUGUGCUCCCUCAGUAGGGUCACUAUAGUCCCAGAGGGACACUUUACCCUCACACAUGGUCCCAGAGGCAGAGGGAGCAUGUUGCAUGCUACAGGAAUUCCCUCACCAUGAUUUAUUUUUUUAUUACACAUACUAUUGUUUGACUGUAAAGCAGUUCACAUGUCUGCCUCUGAGAGAAGAACAUAUGCACAGUUAUUUUUAAUUUGAGCAAAGGUACUUCGUAUGAUUUUGUUCUGAUGGUUAAUUGCCAUUCAAAUAAUUUCAGUUUACGAUAUAAUUUUGUAUUUCUUGGUAUGAAUAAAAAUAAUAAACCAGACCCAUAUGAUUUUCUUCAAUACUAUGAAAAUUAAUAAUAUAAAAUAAUAGAAUAAUAGAAUUAAACUUAAUUAUUGUUGUUAUCUCCAAUAUCUGCAGUGGCAUUCAUUUAUUUGGCAUUUAUGUUCAGC
This 2895-nucleotide long non-coding RNA is filed under the name Carassius auratus (goldfish). RNAcentral describes it as "lncRNA (ENSCARG00000042650.1)". Lineage: Eukaryota; Metazoa; Chordata; Actinopteri; Cypriniformes; Cyprinidae. The record is from RNAcentral.